AGCUAUUCUCCACAGAGAAGCUAGCUGAUUUGUCAUGACUUCUAAUCACUCAUCCUGAGUACCAAAUUGAAAUGCUGAUUUGGCAAGAUUAUUAAAAGAUCUCAAGGCACUUUCCAGAACAUAAAAGACUUGGUUAAAAUGGUGCAGGAGCAGAGAGCUUCACUGCCCAGAGCAGCAGCGUGGCGACAGAGGCAUAGUUGAGCAAAGAAAGAGGAAAGGGGCCUCCAGGGAAGCCAGA
RNAcentral lists this long non-coding RNA (238 nucleotides) under Homo sapiens (human). RNAcentral describes it as "non-protein coding lnc-USP35-19:1". The record is from RNAcentral. Lineage: Eukaryota; Metazoa; Chordata; Mammalia; Primates; Hominidae.